This 430-nucleotide ribosomal RNA is filed under the name uncultured bacterium. RNAcentral describes it as "bacterial SSU rRNA". It matches the Rfam family "Bacterial small subunit ribosomal RNA", at positions 355 to 776 of the family's 1533-position model. The record is from RNAcentral.
UGGGGAAUUUUGCGCAAUGGGCGAAAGCCUGACGCAGCAACGCCGCGUGGGUGAUGAAGGCCCUCGGGUCGUAAAGCCCUGUCGGGUGGGACGAACGCCGCACUGGAAAAUAUCCAAUGCGGAUGACGGUACCACCAAAGGAAGCACCGGCCAACUCCGUGCCAGCAGCCGCGGUAAUACGGAGGGUGCAAGCGUUGUUCGGAAUCACUGGGCGUAAAGGGCGAGCAGGCGGCCGGCCAAGUCGGGCGUGAAAGCCCUCGGCUCAACCGAGGAAGUGCGUUCGAAACUAGCCGGCUAGAGUACCGGAGAGGGAGGUGGAAUUCCCGGUGUAGAGGUGAAAUUCGUAGAUAUCGGGAGGAACACCGGUGGCGAAGGCGGCCUCCUGGACGGAUACUGACGCUAAACCGCGAAAGCGUGGGGAGCAAACAGG